UUUCUUUAAGCUUAUUUACUUAAAGUAAGACCUGCUCAAUGAUAUUAAAUAGCCGCAGUUCACCUGUGCUAAGGUAGCAUAAUAAUUUGCUUCUUAAUUAGAAGAUAGAAUGAAAGGUUACACACUAAAAACGUGUUUCUCUAAGAUCUAAUUAACUUAAAUCUAAAGUAAAAAUUCUUUUAAUAAAAGCGGGACGACAAGACCCUGAUAAACUUAACAUUUAGUUGGGGAAACACAUUAAAAAAACUUUAACCACUAUAACUGACACAACUUUAACAACAAAAUCAAGUCUAGUUACUACAGGGAUAACAGCGUUAUUUCUUUUAAGAGACCUCAUCUAAAAAGAAGAUUACGACCUCGAUGUUGAAUUAAUCAUCCUAUAAAAUGCAACAGUUUAUAUUAAGGUAGUCUGUUCGACUAUUAAAAGAUUACAUGAUUUGAGUUCAGAUCGGCAUGAGCCAGAUCGGUUUCUAUCUACUUUAUUUUCCUAAGUAAAUAGUACGAAAGGACCCUUACUUAUGAUAAAAU
RNAcentral lists this ribosomal RNA (528 nucleotides) under Pholcus anachoreta. Its description in RNAcentral is "partial 16S ribosomal RNA". It matches the Rfam family "Bacterial large subunit ribosomal RNA", at positions 1829 to 2710 of the family's 2925-position model. Lineage: Eukaryota; Metazoa; Arthropoda; Arachnida; Araneae; Pholcidae. The record is from RNAcentral.